This 10854-nucleotide long non-coding RNA is filed under the name Brassica rapa (field mustard). Its description in RNAcentral is "long non-coding RNA (BRAP_LNC007430)". The record is from RNAcentral. Lineage: Eukaryota; Viridiplantae; Streptophyta; Magnoliopsida; Brassicales; Brassicaceae.
GCAUGUGCAGCAGUCUAGAUGUGCGGAGGAGUUCAAACUGAGGAUAAAGAAGAACGAUGAGCUCAAAGCUGCUGCUAAAGCCAAAGGCGAGACAAUAAGCACCAAGAGGCAGCCUAAAGGACCCAAACCAGGAUUCAUGGUUGAAGGUAUGACCUUAGAGACAGUCACUCCUAUCCCCUACGACGUCGUCAACGACCUCAAGGGAGGCUAUUAGUUCUUCUCUACUUUCUUCCCUAUUCUUGCUGUGUGUUUUGGAACUCUGCAUUUGUAGCCACUUGAACUAAAGAAUAUGAUUUAUAUGAGAAUUUUGCAAUCCAGUUUGUUUUUAUCAUAGUUCAAUUUUGUUUGUCAUAACCAUUGAUUCCAACCAAUUAGCCUAUACUCUUUUCAUUAUGAAAACAGUUGUUGACCAGUAUGAAUAAUUAUGAGUAUUUAAGUUAAAAGAUAUCUUCUGAAGAGAUACAGAUAGAGAAUUUGUAUUGGUUAUUCUGUUUGCUCGUAGAGUUUCCUAAAAUAGAUACACAGAAAGAAACCUCAUUUCAUCCGUUGCUUACCUAAAUUUUCUUUUAGGCUAUUUCAUGUAUUAUCACUCAGAGCAUCAUUAUCCCAAAGACCCAUUUAGGGUCUCUUAUUUUUUUUUAAUACUUUUAAGUAGUAAAAGUGAAUUAAGAGACUUAGUUAAGAGACUUGAACAUUUAUACGCUCCAAUGCAAGUCUCUUAAUGAAGGUUUCUUAAAAGUUAAAACUAUUUUCAUUGAAACUUAAAUGUACUUUAAAACCAAGUUUUUUUUAUCAAACUACUUUCAUUGAAAUAUAGAAGAGUUCAACUCCAUCAAUGGAGGAUACAAUAUAGCUACAAAAAGCCAAACAAACCAAAGCAUAGACCAAUAAACUGGACAAACAAAUAAGAAAGCUUAACCAUCUUCAAAACAAUGUUCCCUAUAACAAUUUCACUAAUAACAAAUCCAAGGAGAUAGCAAGUAAAGUUAACCUUAUUAAGUGUAACACACUUUGCAACCUUCACCAUAUAAUCAUAGAAUUCCUAACUAACAAUCAGAUCUAAGCCACGAGUCCAUAAGGUUCCUGCCAAAUAUGAGCUCAGUCCGAGCUCAUUUUCCCAACCAAACAAGACGAUCCAUCAACAUACCACUCUGUUUCACAAUGUACCAAACCUGUUCAGAAAUACAUGAAUAACUAAUAAACUAACCGUCCACUUUUCGAUCACACCGUUGAAUUCUGAGUCUGCAGUGUCCCCUACAUCUGUACAAAGUUUCAGUCAGAUCAGCAUACAAAUGAACCUCCCACGCUCUCUUGAAUUUGCUGCAACAGAACAGUUGAACCUCCCAGAUUUGAGCUGCUACUUCUGAUGCUUGCGUAGGAAGCAAGGCACACCACAACGAAGUCGUUACUCCAAUGACAGAGACGUCAGUUUCUAUGGCUUCCCUGCCACGUCCUCUAUUAAGAGAAACUCCAUAUGUGAUCUCCCAAACUCAUAUCUGAUCCGGAUCUCUUUUUCGAAACCCCAUCUCAAACUGUGUACUUCUUCUCCACCUUUGUUUCCUUCUUCUCUAGUUCACCUUUCUCCAUCUCACGUUCUUCUCCUUUUUCUCUUUAACUUCUUUCUCUUUUAUCGGCUGCUAGCCUCGUUUUAAUCUUUUAUUCAAUUGGAUUUAAAUAAGAUUUUAGAUUUAAGUCUACGAUCAGAUGAGAGUUUUGAAACCUGUGUGCGAAGAAGACGCGGCGGAGGAAAACGUGAGGUUGACGAGAAGUGAGUCUCUGAGUCGGCUGAUGGCGUCGGAGUCGUCGCGGAGAGGUCAUCGUCGGAGUCGCCGGUUGAUGGAGUCAGAGUCGUCGCUGAUGGGUCAUCGUGGAGGAGAGAUCAGCAGAUGGAGUCGGAGUCGCCGAGGAGACACAAAAGAAAGAGAGAGAAUGCUUUGGUAGAGAGAGAAAGGGAUGAGAUAAUGACACGUGUUCACAAAACCCGUCUCUUGUGUGGCUUAAUUAAGCGACGUCUCUUCUUUAAUUAGCCAAUUUUUCUUUUCUUUUAAAUCUGAAAACAUUGAAUACGGGCUUUAAGAGCCCGCGAUAAUGGUGCUCUCAUACUCCAACCUCUCUCUCCAUUAUUAUUGUUAAUAAUAAUACUUAAUAACAAAAUUCAAUGUAUACAACAAAAUCAUUAUAUAUUAAUGAUGUCGAAUAAAAAAACUUAGAUUAUAGAAUUAUAAAAUACAUUAAAAAAAUUACAGUAAUAUCAAAAUUUUACAUCUAUAAAAUGAAAAUAGUAUCCACAUAGGCGUUUGCUUCUUCUUUUUAGGCUGUAACUUUAGAAAAGAAAUCACACUUGAUUGGUAAAAUUUUGAUGUAACUUUAAAUUUUAAAAUUAGAACUACAUAAUGAUUGGUUAGAUAUUUUACUUUAAACUCCAACCAAUCAACCACGUCAAUUUUAUUUCAUUAAACGUACAUGAACUUAUUUGAAAUAGAUUUUGAACCGUAUUCACAUCAUUUUCGCCAACCUCGUCAAGAACACAAUGGCUUGCAGAGCGAGAGAACUUGUAUCGUUGUUUUUGUAUAAGAUUUGUGAUCCUAGAAGGUAUGUAACCGGGGGCUCUUUGAUCUAUUUUCCUCUUCUAUCAAUGUGUGUGUCGUCAUCUCAAAGUAUAUAUGAUGAAUCUAUAAGAUUUGCGAUUUGCAGGCAUAUAAUUGUGUUGGAAAAUUUAGCUAAAUUCUUAAGAGAUUGGUCUGAUUUUCGGAGUGAUUGUUUUUGACCUUGUAGAUCUGAUUACAAAAUUGAGGAACAUGUGGGAGAAGAAGCAGAGGCAAAACUCAACAGGUUUGUCAAUUCUUUUUGAAAAGUCUGUGUGUUUUCUUCAAGAUCACAUAGACAUAUCUUAACAAAAUAUUUUGUAAAUGGUUUUUUUUUUGGUGUCAGGCUGAGAACAAGCACCCUAGUUCAUGAACUGGAAGCAGAUGCAGAACUCAAGAGGUUUCUUCUUCUUUCAAUGUUUUAAAUAACUGACAUUUGUGUCCCCCGUCAAAUAAAUGUUUAAUGAUUGGUUUCUUGGUGUCAGGCUGAAAACACCUUUAAAGAAACCAGAAGCACAACUCAAUAUGUCUGAGGCAGAAGAACUCAAGAGGUUUUGUUCUUAUUUUCUCUCUAUUACAUGAGCCCUGUUCGUUUGGUUGCCGCAGGUUUCGGCGUCAGCGGCGGCGGCAGCGUCAGCGUCAAUGAAGACAGUUGUUGUUCGUUUCGCAGACGCUGCCGCUGCCGCAUACUAUAUCGCGACCGCAGGUUUUAUCGGCGUCAGACGCAGCUUCCUGCGUCAACGAAACGAACAAGAGUUGACGUAGAAUGUUGACGCUGCCGCUGCCGCCGGUACCUGCGGCAACCAAACGAACAGCCCUAUGGAUUCAUAUAGAUAACCACGACUUUGUAUGUCUAUGUUUUUAUGUUGGGUUGUGUCAGUUUUAGAGCAAUCCUAGAGAGCAGUAGUGGAUCCUCUGAGAAGCAUAACCAAGAUUUUGUCCUUCCCGACGAUCUUGUACGUCUCAUAUUGCCCCGUCUUGCUAUGAAGGACAAUAUACGCUGUUCUGUUGUGUGCAAGACAUGGAGUGAAAUUGCUGCUGCCUCUGUCCGCCUUAAAGAUAGACCUUACUGGCUUAUGUAUCUUAUUACAUGUAAUAAUACCCGCGGGGGAGUCUCCUACGGUUUUUACGACCCUAUAGCGAAGAAGAAGACAAAGGCAAUGACUGUACCCGAGUUAUCCAUGGAUUCGAAAAUCUUUUGUUCCAAUGAUGGUUGGCGUUACUCAUCAAAGACUAUUCUCCACAUGGCAACCUUUGCUUCUUCAAUCCUUUUACCCGAGAGCGCAUAAACUUGCAUUUUCCUAAACACACGAUAUGUAGCACGACAUUUGCUUUCACUUGUGCUCCUACAAAGACGGGUUGUUUGCUGGUUGGUAUUGAAGGUUUCCCGGAUAGUGUUAGUGUAUACACCACCAUCAGCACUUGGCAUCCUGGUGCAGUUACAUGGGUACAUGAGGAGUUUCGUAACGAGAUUUCUUCUCACUCUAGGCACACACAAAACAUAAUACAUUCGGAUGGUCUCUUUUACAUGGCUACAGAAAUUGCGUUAGGGGUAUUCGAUCCAUCUGCGCGUACGUGGACCGUUCUCCCUAUGCAACCCAUCCUUGGCGUUGGCCCUCGGAUGAGAACAUUGAGGUGGAUGACUGAAUAUGCAGGACAGAUAUUUCUUGUAGAUGCAUCAUAUGUGGAGCCGGUGGUGUUUAGGCUUAACCAAGUGGAGUCGGUGUGGGAAAAGAAAUCAACACUGGAUGGCUGCUCAAUAUUUGUGAGCAAUGGGUCAUGCGUGAUAACCUCAGGGUCAAUGAGUAACAUUCUCUAUAUCUGGAAUAAUGAUAUCAACGGGAGGCGUCCAACCAAGUAUAUGUGUACCUUUAAACGUAAUCGCCCCUACAAGUAUUCUUUAUAUAACAGGAGUUUAUGUGAAGAUCCUGAAGGGUAUUACUUUGAAUAUCGGACAAGGAGGGAUAUAGAUGGUGUCUGGAUCGAGCCCCCCCAAGACGUCUCUAUCUAUGAUUUCUCCAUUAUUGAUCCCUCUGUUGCCAUAAAUACAUGUCUUUUUUUUUUGAAUUUUCAGCUUGAUCUAUUCCUCUUUAAGAUCUAAAGCUUUAUUUUUAUUGCAUCUUAUCAGAUAUGUUGUGUAUUGUGACAAUGAAGAGAUGACUAUGCUGUUUCUAUGUAACUAGAUACUUUUUUUGUUAAAAAUGGCUCUUUGGAUUUUGAUUAGUGAUGUUCAGAGAGGAGCAGCCACUUGUGUAGGACAUUUUCCUGGAAAUAGCAAUAACAUGUACACACACAGCUACUUCACAAGCACAAUCUAUCACCGUUGACUUUAGACUAAAGAUUUUUUAGUCAGUAAGACUUCACAAGCACACUAUACAACAAACAUUACAAGGAACACGUAAGAUCUAAAAUGAUAACAGAUGACUUAACAUAAGACAAACAAACUAGAAUAGUUACUUUGCAAAAAUAAAAACUGAACAAUUGGCCAUUCAAACAAUCAUAACUAUCAUAUAUGAAAUUUAGUCAACAACGAUUUUGAUGCUCAAUCUUCUAACAAUACGUACAAAAUUCACGGAUAGGAUGAGUAACAAAGAAUAUGGGGGUGAUUGGUAGUUGCUGUAGGUGCUGUGCACAGCCCUAUUUAUUUCUACAGCACCAAAUUCAGAGCAAUCAAGCUUUAAAUGUUUUUUUGAAACCACAACUCUUAAAAUAAUCUACAGCUGUACAAGUGCUCUGCAGAGCCAAAUAUCCAAAGCAAUAUUUUAGUGCUUUCCAUAAAAUUCUACAGCAAUAAAAUCUAAAACCAAAGCAAAAAGUCUACAGAUUUUUUUCUACAGCAAAAUUUUAAAAGCUACAGCCAUUACCAAUCAGACCCUAUAUAACAAAACUCUUAAACUUGAAAAUAAAUAUAAACAAAAUCAUUUAACAAAUAUAAAACAUACUCAAAAAAAUAUAUAGUAAUAUAAUUAUAUACAUCACACAUCAGGUAUAUCCUGCGCGUAAUGCAGAUCGACUCUAGUAAAUGCAUAAAAUGUGUUUGAAAGACUUAAACAAUACGGAAAAUCCACAUUUGCUCAAAUCAAUUUCAAGGUUCUGUUUGGUAAAUUUCCUUAAUUUUAUGAUUAGAAUAAUAAAAUAAUAUAAUAUAUUUACAUGACUAAUCUAUUUUUGUAAGGCUUUUAAGAAUAAAGUACAAAGGAUCAUUAAAUCCCGAAAUGGGCUCGAGAGAGUUCUGAUUUCGGGGUCAUGAAUCAGGUUUAUUGUAUCUGUCAGAAGUUUUUGAGUUCUCCAUCAAUGAGUUUGUGGGAAGCUUCUCUCAGUUGGCUGCGUGGGUGAGAAAAUCUCUUAUCCUUUUCUGAUUAUUGUCUUACAUCAGCUCAGUAGUAUUGUAGUCUUGUCUCCUUGUAAUUGUGACGAUGACAAUGGUUCUAAUCUGCAUGUUCUGUAGUUUUUUUUUAUUUUUCUAAAGAGACAAAUCCAAUAAUUUGAUGUCGCCAUGUGGAUUUUGAUUGCCAUGUAAACAGAUUCAGUGAAUGCUUAUGCAGCCUCUUCUUCAAGCAAGAAAUGGAACUUUCUUUGAUGGGCCUUCAAAAUGCAGGAAAGACAGCACUUAUCAAUGCUGUUGAUGUAACUAUAUAUACUACUUCCUCGGAAACCCAUUUCACUUGUAUUAUUUAUACAGUUUGAUAUGGUGGUUAGGAGGGUAUCUAAUAUGCUUUUUUUCUUGUUUAGAAUGUUGGAUAUAGUGAAGACCUGGAUCCUACGGUAAGUGUGUUAUAUAAUUUUAUCUUCAAGAAACAAGAGAUCAUCAAUACCAGAAUAUAUAUAACAUUUUUGCAGAUUGGUUUUCACAUGAGGGAAGUGACAAAAAGAAAUGUUAUUUUGAAGCUACGGGAUGGUAGUGGGCAAUCAGGAUUCCGCAGCUUUUGGGAAGGUUUUUGCCGCGAUAAUCCUGCCAAAGUGUAAAAAGGAUCUUCUUCAACUAUCUCAAAGUCUCUAUAUUGUCUUCAUAUUCUCACGUUGGAGUCCUUUUGUCCUGGUAGGUAUGUAGUUGAUGCUGCAGAUGUUGACAAUCUAUUUAUCUCGAAAAAAGAACUCCAUAAGUUGUUGAGCAAGACUUCGCUUAACGGUAUCCCUCUUCUGGUUCUUGGGAACAAAAUGGACGAACCUGGAGCUCUGUCUAAAGAUGCCUUCACUGAAGAAAUGUAUAAUUAACUGUUUCUUUCUUUCUCCAAAAACAUCUUCCAUCUGAUCAUGUUUUUUUAUUGUGUGGAUUACAGGGGGCUUCAGUUGCUUUCAGAUAGAGAAGUCUGCUGUUUCAUGAUAUCAUGCAAGAACUAUACCAACAUUGAUCAGGUCUUUGAUUGGCUCCUAUCAAAAUUAAAGAACUAAAUAUUCUCUCUUCUUGAUCUUCUUAGUCGUUCUGUGUUGUGUGCCUCGUUGGUUGAUGAUGAUCAUUCAUGGUUGAAGACAAUUUUAAAGAAUAGUUUGUCCCUAAUUUUCUUGUCUCUGUUGCUGCUCUGGUCUCUACAUGUGAAAUUUUGGAAACACAAACAAAGUUUCUCACUUUUAUAUGUACAAAAACAAAAAAACAAAAAAAUAUCUGGUGCUUAGUAGAUAAAUAAGCUCUGUGCUGCUCCAUACGCUAAACGAUUAUUAUCUCUAUAUGGACAAACCAUUUGGUGAUUGUCCCUUGAGCUCCUGUCCUGGAAUCCUAGGUUGAUUUUGCUGUGAGGACACUGACCAUUCUCACAAGUGAAACCUGGUCUCUCCAUCAUGACAACAUUCUUUCUGACCUUGGAGAAGAAGAAGAAGCAGGGAGAGUUGAGUGGACGUAGAUGAUGACGUGGAAGCAGUUAAUUCAACGGAAGAGUUUGUUUGUAUGAGAGAGUAGCUUUUGAGAAUUGUAAUCAGGAUCUAAAGACUAGAAGUCUUGGAUUAGGCUCUCGGCGUGUGAGACGUCAAGAGAAGUUGUAUUGAGGUGGUUACUUUCUUAUCAAAUAAUACAUACAAACAGGGGCGGACCCACGUGUAGUGAUGUGGGGUCACUUGACACAACAAAAACAAUAAAAGCUCACUCCACUCAUUGAUGAAGAAGAAGAAAGAGGAGGAGGACAUGAGUCCGGAUAGAGCUCCCGGGCCAUAAACCUCUUCUUGGUUGAUAAAUGGCAAGCCAAGUAGCACUCUCUUUCGCCUGUCAUCUUAUCUUGCAAGCAUUUUGAUUGCCUCACAAGCUUUUCGCAAUAUCAGGGGACAUAUAUGCUUGAUAACGGCGGUCAAAACAACACCGACUUUCCGAGCUGAGGCCACCACGGCGGUGGAACACCUUUCUCCAAAAGAAACAAACAGACAAAAGCGACCCAAGAGUUGUGUCUUAAAGCUCCUGAAGUGUGUGCGGCGUUGGUCCAACCAAACUAUUACAAUCGUUACGGAGACCUUGGAGCAGGGCAACGGAGAUGAACGAAAGGAUUUAAAUGCCUGGAGCAUGCAUGCAAACUUAUGUCUUUUCAGUUUCUUUCAUUCAUCAUUAACAACAAGUUUACGUCGGUACAACUUUGGACAAAGGAUAAGCUUGGAGUUCUCAAGGCAAAGCGCAUUAUAAGAUGUUGCAAGGUCCGUCGCAUAAGAAGGAUUUCACGGUGGAGACUUGAUCGGAGCGGACAAAGACAAUGGCGGUGGAGACUUCUAUAUUUUUUUAGGCUGGCCACAUCUUUGCUAACACAUGGCUUCCAUUACCUUUUUUUAUCUUUAUUUUCAUGUGUAAUAUUCGGUUUGUCUAAACUAAAAGUUUGUACCAAUUUUAAGUCCUUUGGGAACUUUUCAAUAAAAAGUAUGUUAACACAAAAAUAUGUUUGACAAAUGAUAAAUCCAAUAACUAAAAUAAAAUUUAUAAAAUUUAUUUUCAUAAUAAACUGAUAAACUAAAGUCAAACAAACUUUUUUCCUUAUUAAUUACCUUUAAUUAGUUUUGCAGGGCCACCAAACAUUAUAGUAUGCCCCCAAUAUUUUUCAAUGUGUGCCUUUCUUCUCCCAUACCACCCAUCAAAAUCAGUUACUUCCUCACUAUUCACGUCUGCCACACCAAUGACUUUCUGUGUUUUAGCAUCUACUACCGAGCAAUCACGAGCAUAUGCAUAAAGUCGCGGAUCAUCUACGUGCUUAAUUAGUAGUCCAUUUCCCAUCGGACUAGUCAUUGAGUUUGGAAUUGUGAACAAUUCGCCACCCCAAUAAACUUGGUCUGCAUUGUAUGCUAAAUCAGUGAAUAGUUUAGCUGGCCAAAAACCAAGAGCCUUUUGUUUCUUUCCUUUUCCAGUGAAUAACCACCAGUUUCCAUUUUGUGGAUCCUUAAAAAAAACACAAGUUUAAAGAUAAGUUUUAUUAUAUUAUAAGGUUCAUGACAUAGUUUAAACAUGAAAACACAAAAGUAAUUGUUUUUUGGAUAAAUUACAAACUUUUAUAAAUUAACUUACUCGGUAAAUGUAAAAUCUACAUUCCAUUAUUCGCACAGCGAUCUCUGAGACUUUGGGAAAUGCAUAAUCAAGAGGACUAUUGUUGUUCACUAUCACAAAACCGGGGCAGUUCGUAUUGAAACAGUGUUGGUCACGUGUCUAUACAUGAAGAAAAUAUUAAUCUGAUAUUAAUAAAAUAAAGAAGAAAAUCCUUAUAAUGCUUGAUUUAUUUGAAAGUAUAACCUUUUUUUUUUGAAAGUAUAACCAUUUUACGUGAUGUAUGUAGAGCUUACAUGGAAAUAUGCAAAUUUUCGGCAACGAUUGUCUCCAUAAAGCGUAGGGUUAACCUGUAAAAAGGCAAUUUAAUCAAAAUAAUAACUACUUUGUCUGUAUUUUUUAUUUACUUAUUUUUAUUUUUGUUUAAUAAGUUACGUGAAAGCUAUGAAUGUUAUGUUAUACCGUCCAACCAGCCUUGAUGAAAUCUGUACCGUUGGAAACUUUUAUUAAACCAGAAGAGAAUUGAAGUUGAUGAACCAUUGGAGUUUGGUAUAAACUGAAAUGAGCAAAUCCUCCUGCAAAAUCCAUAUCUACGUACUUACUUAUGACUCUGUUUCCUGCAUACUAUUAAAUUUCACUAUUUUUAAUGUAACUUAUUAAAGAAAAUACUAAUACAUUUGUUUAUAUAAAAAAUAAAUGGAGAAAGAGAGGAAAAUUUAUGUACAUGUAAACCCGGUUCGGAAUUGGUUAGAGGAUGAACAUUUGAGUCAAACAUUUGGUUGAAUGUCUUUUGUCUGAUAAGAUCUUCUUUGGUAGUUUUUCUUAUUGGGACUGUGCCAUGUGGGCAUUCAACUUCUAUUUCAUUGUCACCUUCUUCUUUCUCUUCUUCUUUUUCAACUUCCUCUAGUCCAUUCAUGUUGCUUGGUCUCAUCUAAUGGGGAAAAUAUGCAAUUUUAAAAUAAUGAUAAUUUAAAAUUAUUCCUGACAUAAUAUUUAUUCAUAAGUAUAAAAGAUUAUUACUUCAGGAUGAAACUCAUGGCUCUUCAAGAGGGCAUGAUCAAACGCAGGUUGUUUGUAAAAAUCUAUACAAUCAUAGAUAUCACCAUAUUCAGUCUGAAAAACAUAAAUACAACAAAAACAAAAAAAACAGUGAGGUUUUAUAGAAGAAAAAUAAUAACUGAAAAGUUAUAUAUGUACAAAAAUAUAUGAAUAAAAAUAAAGUAAAGCACGAACCUUGACUGUCUUAACAGAUGGUUUAUUUAUAAGCUUAAGUUGUCUCUCUAAUUUCAAAUCUUCUUCAUAUAAUUCUCUAGUUGUAGGCUUUGCAACACAACUUAACGCAAAAACGGCUAAAACGAAAAACUUCAUCCCAAACAUACUAAGACAAUUAUUAUUUCUUUUUGGAUGGUUGUUUUCUCCUAACCCCAUACACACAUACUUAUAUGAUUUAUUAUGAGCGCUUAUACAUUAUUUGAGUUACAAAGAAUUUGAAACUUUAGUAAUUUGAGAAUAAUAGGAAGUUUGCGAUUUCGUUUUGACGAAAUCUACCAUUGAUAACUAGGAAAGAAUAUGAUAUGAAUUGCACCAAAUCUUGAGUUUGAAAAUACAGAGGAAUAUGCAGUGGCAUAUUCUAUCUUUCUUCUAUUAUCUAGGAGGAAUUUGGAUUUUGGGCUCUAAUAUAUCUCCUACCCUCGAAUCAAUCUUACUAAUACAAUUCAUGGCUGAAUGUAUGACUAGGGAUGAUUAAACGGGCCAGGACUCAUACCGUAUGACCUUGGAGACCGUCACUCCUAUCCUCUACGACGUCGUCAACGAUCUCAAGGG